Etheostoma spectabile (orangethroat darter) is the source of this 1191-nucleotide long non-coding RNA. RefSeq lists it as uncharacterized. The transcript has 2 exons. Lineage: Eukaryota; Metazoa; Chordata; Actinopteri; Perciformes; Percidae. The record is from RefSeq and is a predicted model, not a curated record.
GCCUCGGCUCCUACAGGAGGGGAGACAGCUACAGGGAGUCAGCCCUCCACCUUCAGGCUCGGCUCCUACAGGAGCAGGGGAGACAGCUACGGGAGUCAGCCCUUCCCAUUCAGGAAAUACUGCAUGGGCCUUUUGAUUACCGAGAGGAACGAAGACAGUGACUCUUGAUAGGUCAGAGUUUGGGUGGUUUGCUACAGGAUUGGAAAUCACACACACACACACACACACACACACACACACACACACACACACCACACACACACACACACACACACACAACACACACACACACACACACACACACACACCACACAGACAGACAGACAGACAGACAGACAGACAGACAGACAGACAGACAGACAGACAGACAGACAGGACAGACAGACAGACAGACAGACAGACAGAGUCUUAUCCAGGAGUACUUGUUCUUUCAUUUUUAAACUAAGCUGUAGAUGCCUAUACAAGAGGUAAGUUAAAAAUGACAGCAUUAACUAUGCAAAAAAAUAAUAAUUACUAACAUUAAUAAGUCCCCAGCUAAUUAUCUUCUUUUCAUAUUCUAUUAGAUUCAAGAUUCAGGAUCUCCUUGACGACAGAGAAGACGUGUUUACUCCGGACCAGAUGAGAAUGAUGGAUGACCACAGGACCAGCAGGAGAGCGGCGGCCGCCUUUCUUUCAGUCGGCUAAGACAGGACUCCUCUCUGUGUUUUUGGCACACCCUGGACAGCUGAGAGUAGACGUCAACCAACCAGUCACCCCAGGCAGACCGCUGACCCACUCUCAGUACUCUACCUGCUCCCAGGCACCAAGCCCUGUCUGAAGACCCAGUGAGGACAGUUCCACCCCGACCCCCACCAACACCACCUUCACCUGCCAAGAGGAUGAUUACCGCCCCAGCCCGACCAGCACAGACGACGUUGUUAUCGUCUGCUUCUUCUUCUGUGGGUCCGGGAUGCUCCUCACAUACACAGGAAGCUGGCACCACAGACACUUGAGACUGAAUAAAAAAAAUCUUAAAGUAAUUAGUUUGUACAAUAUGUAAACUGUUUAUCUCUGAAUAGUGCAAUGCAAUACCAAGUGUAAGACAAACCUUCUAAAUAUUUGUAAUUAUGUAUACACAAUAUUAUAUACUUGUAUUUAUCAUUCACAAAUCUGACAAUGUGUGACUGGAAUAAAUUAUUGUGCAAAUGAUGA